RNAcentral lists this antisense RNA (75 nucleotides) under Streptomyces sp. SolWspMP-5a-2. Its description in RNAcentral is "ASpks TB sRNA". It matches the Rfam family "ASpks TB sRNA". Lineage: Bacteria; Bacillati; Actinomycetota; Actinomycetes; Kitasatosporales; Streptomycetaceae. The record is from RNAcentral.
CUUGAUGGAGCCGAGCCACAGCGGGCGGUCCCCGUCGCGGUCCUGGCCGUAGGUGGCGAGGAGGGCCUGGGCCUC